This is an RNA transcript of Salvelinus sp. IW2-2015, 2143 nucleotides long. It is a transcript of the gene named aldo-keto reductase family 1, member A1a (aldehyde reductase), with no coding region annotated. The record is from RefSeq and is a predicted model, not a curated record. Lineage: Eukaryota; Metazoa; Chordata; Actinopteri; Salmoniformes; Salmonidae.
GUUCAACUUACUAUGUGGGACCAGGUAUCAAACCCAGGCCAUCUGCAUGCUUUAGGACUGUGUUAGCCCACUGAGCUAAAAAGCCUAUGUAUUUGCUCUGGGAGCUAACGUGAGCCCUCAGGUCUACAGGGCUAGUCCUAACACAAGCUUGUUCACUGAACUAACUCUGUUUUCUAGUGGUCACUAAACGUCCCAUGGCACUCGAAUUGAGUAGAAGUCUAAACCCUAGUGUCCUUCCCAACCUGGUCACCAUACCACUAUGGCCACCUAAUCAUCCUGGCCUUCAAUGGUCUCAUAUAGCAUUAAAUACCUGUAAAUUACAAUGGAAAGGAGUUGCGUGCACGAGCUGUCAUGAAUGUGUGACCUGUCAUGAAUAUUUGUAUUCAAAAUGGUGGGCAUUAUUCAAUGUCUACAAUCCUGUAUCUGACCACACUGUCACAUUUACUAGGCCAAACCCAUCCCAGGUUGCAUAACAAAACAGACAUUUAAAGGUCAAAUUUUGUGAGCACUGUCUGGGAGUGGUUUGAGUGGGGAGGGAAAACUGAAAAUUAACUGUUAUUGGCAGAGGUUUGGAACUCUUUCUUAUUGGUCCAUUAUUGCCGUGUUCAAGCGCUAGUCGAAACUUGAAAAUGUCCGACUUGCUAAUUGGUUGAACGCGACGUGUAUAAUAACUACAACCAGUUAGCAAGUCGGAAAUUUCAGAGUUCCUACUAGCACGUGAACUAAUAACUAAUUUACUGCAUGGUGAUGUCACCAUGGAAGGCCAAAACUCCAUCCCACAAAAACAGGCUGAGAUUUCAAGUGGUCUUUUCAAAUGGCUCUCACACUAAAAGUGAAAAUUAUGAAAUGGCUCAAUUUCACAGUAUUAUUCCAACUUCAGAGUGGAAAUAUAUAUAAGACAGACUGCACUGGACCUUUAAGGUUGGCUCUUUUCUUGUUUUGACACAUGAUGUUGAGUGUCAAUGUUCUAAUUCAUGAGACCAUGAGUGUGUUAUUCUGAGACUGAAAAUGGGUUAUUUACAUGUGGGCUGUUCAUUGACUGUUGGUGCUCUGUAGAUGACUAUAGUUAGUUUUAGAAGUUUCCCAACCGUUUGGGUUACAGAUAAACAGAUCCAUCCAGACUUUGACCUCUGUCUGUUUAAAACCAGCCUGACUACUGAGCAUCACACACACUCUGACACUCACAGAAGUCUGAUUGUUUGCCUGCCUUUCAGAACCUCUGGACUGAACCAUGAGUUCUUGCGUGACCCUGUCGUCAGGGCAUAAGAUUCCCCUGGUGGGGCUGGGGACCUGGAAGAGUGCCCCUGGACAGGUGAAGCAGGCUGUGCUGACGGCUCUAGACUGUGGCUACAGACACAUUGAUUGUGCUGCUGCGUACAGUAAUGAGCAGGAGGUCGGGGAGGCACUGGCUCUGAGGCUGGGACCAGGAAAGGCCCUGCGUCGUGAGGAUGUAUUUCUGACCUCUAAGCUGUGGAACACCCAGCAUCACCCUGACGAUGUAGAGACCGCCUGUAGGAAGAGUCUAAUACACCUGGGACUGAACUACCUGGACCUCUACCUCAUGCAUUGGCCCAUGGCCUUCCAGCGUGGGACAGAGCUGAUGCCCAAGCGGGCCGAUGGGAGUGUGUGUUACGAUGACAUACACUACCAGGAAACAUGGGUUGCCAUGGAGAGCCUGGUUGAUAAGGGGCUGGUCCGAGCCAUCGGUCUGUCCAACUUCAACGCCAGACAGACAGACGAUGUCAUCAGCAUCGCCAAACACAAGCCUGUAGUCAACCAGGUGGAGUGUCACCCAUACCUGUCCCAGGCCAAGCUGCUGAGUCACUGCAGGUCGGUAGGUGUAUGUGUGACGGCCUACAGCCCCCUGGGUAGUGGUGACAGGCCCUGGGCCUCGCCUGAUGAACCCUGCCUGCUGCAGGACCCUGGACUGGGGGCUAUCGCCCUCCGCCACAGCAUGACCCCUGCUCAGGUCAUACUCAGGUGGCAGGUACAGAGAGGGGUAGUCUGCAUCCCCAAAAGUGUCACCCCCUCCAGGAUCCAGCAGAACCUACAGACAUGAAGCAGAUGGAGUCAUUCAGCAGAAACGAGAGGUACAUCGUCCCAGCUGUGGAGAGGGACGGAAAGAGAGUGUGGAGGGACGCAG